ACCGGACUAACUCCGUGCCAGCAGCCGCGGUAAUACGGAGGUGCGAGCUUAAGUCGGAAUUACGUGGGACGUAAAGCGACAUGCGAGGUUGGUUUAGUUAACGUCAAGAUGUAGAAACGGCCCGGGGCUACCAACCGUACGGUAAUUGCUAUUUAGAAACGUGGACAAACUAGAGUACUGUAGAGGGGGUAGAAUUUCAGGUGUAGCGGUGAAAUGCGUAGAGAUCUGAAGGAAUACCGGUGGCGAAGGCGGCCCCCUGGACAGAUACUGACACUCAGAUGCGAAAGCGUGGGGAGCAAACAGGAUUAGAAACCCUGGUAG
RNAcentral lists this ribosomal RNA (321 nucleotides) under uncultured bacterium. Its description in RNAcentral is "bacterial SSU rRNA". It matches the Rfam family "Bacterial small subunit ribosomal RNA", at positions 492 to 793 of the family's 1533-position model. The record is from RNAcentral.